UAGAAGUGCAAUAGCAUAAACUAGUUUUUAGUCUGCAAGAUAAAGACUAAAGUUGAUAUAAAAAAACCAAAUGAAUCGGUAAAUAGUACAUGUAAUUACGACAGUAGUCGAAAUUUAGGUAAUGAAUUUUGAAGAAGAGAUUUUUAUUUCUUUUCUUUUGAUAUGUAAUAAUAGUGAAGAAGAGUUAGGAUUUAAGAACGGACAAUGCCCACUAGCCCUAAUUUUAAGAAUUUUAUUCGCACUAACAAAAUCAGAUUUAAAAAUUCCCAAGUGCCAACUUAAACAACUAAAAGACAAUUAUACCCUUAAUAAAUUAAAUAAACUACGUACAAUAGACCAUUAUAAGAGUCUAUUAUAAAAUAAAGUUUAUAUGACCGGAUUCCCACGACCAAUGACGUUGACCGGGCUCCUGGGGCCGUUGACAGGACUCCGAUGACUGUUGACCUGGCUCCGGCGACAGUUGACCGGACUCCGACGACCGUUGACCAGACUCGUUGACCGGACUCCGACGAAAACUAGCGGGUCUACUGAGGGCAGUAAGAGGUCCACUAGGGGCAGUAGGGGGAUCUACUAGGGGCAGUAGGAGGUUUGUUGGGGUUCUAUUGGAAGCAGUAUUUCCCCUAAUUAAACCAUCUCAUCCAUAAAGGGAGUGGUGUUCAAUAAAAAAAAAAUAGAGACAGAGACUUGUAUUCAAUAAAAAAAAGAAAAAAAGAAGAGUGACGAGUUGUAUUCGACCAAACCAUUCCAAUAAAAUUUGCAGGGAGCCACAUGGCAGCGAAAGAGCGACGAGUACUGGCUCAGGACUCCGAUCCGGUUCACCAUGGAAUUGCAUUUCAAGAAAUGAAGCCAUAACAGAGCAGCCUUUCGACCUUAGCACCUUGCUUGCUUCACCGAACGGGUAAAAGGUUGUCGUUUCCGCCAUCGUCGCCGUCUCGUUAGGGUUUCGCGGUGCCAGGCAGUAGAGAUUCUUACGGCCGUAGCUCGGAAUCGGACACGAGAUCCGGAAAUAAGGGUCGAAGAAGCGGUUGAUGCCAUAGAUGAUCAAAAUGCCGUCGUCGAAGAUUGGGGAAGCCGUGACGGUGACGUUGUUGAGCUAGACGAGGCCGUCGGCAGGGAGAGUGGUGACGGCGAGAGAGUGGCCGUCGAGCAGAGUCCGGAUCUUGGCGACGAAAGGGAUGGAUUUGAGUGUAACACCAUGACCCAGCACUACCAGAAGAAAGGCUUUAGCCGACGAAAAAAAAAAACCAGGCCGACGAAGCAUUUUUUCGUCGGCUAAAGUCCACUUUAGCCGACGAAAUUAUCUUUCGUCAGCUAAGUUAAAUUUUCGUCGGCUAUGGUAAACUUUAGCCGACGAAAAAAAAUUUUCGUCGGCUAAAGAAUUUAUUUCGUCGGCUAAAGUUCACAAACUAUGGCCGACGAAAUAUUUAAAAGUUUAGCCGACGAAAUUAAUAUGUCGUCGGCUAAAGUGCUUUAUAUUUGUGGAUCUGGACAGCAGCAGCUCAUCUGGGAAAAAAAAACGGGAGAAGAAAAAACGGGAGAAAAAGUUGGGUGUUGUCGAAAUCUGUCCAUAAUUAGUUUGUGGAGCCAUAUAUAGGUACGUAUAUGUAUAUAUAUGUUGAUUAAUUGAGUUUUAUUUGAGUUGAUCGAUUUUAAGUGUGAUUGAGUUUAUUGAUUUUGAUUGUGAUUGAGUUGAUUAAUUU
RNAcentral lists this long non-coding RNA (1700 nucleotides) under Fragaria vesca (wild strawberry). RNAcentral describes it as "long non-coding RNA (FVES_LNC003193)". Lineage: Eukaryota; Viridiplantae; Streptophyta; Magnoliopsida; Rosales; Rosaceae. The record is from RNAcentral.